RNAcentral lists this ribosomal RNA (835 nucleotides) under uncultured bacterium. RNAcentral describes it as "bacterial SSU rRNA". It matches the Rfam family "Bacterial small subunit ribosomal RNA", at positions 9 to 849 of the family's 1533-position model. The record is from RNAcentral.
GAGUUUGAUCCUGGCUCAGGACGAACGCUGGCGGCGUGCCUAACACAUGCAAGUCGAGCGGAGCUUUUUCUGGUGGCAACACUGGGGGGAGUUCAGCGGCGAACGGGUGAGUAACACGUGAGGAACCUGCCCCAAAGACCGGGAUAACUCUCCGAAAGGGGUGCUAAUACCGGAUGUCCCUGCUGGGCCGCAUGGUCUGGUGAGGAAAUGGGUUUCCGCUUCGGGAGGGUCUCGCGGCCUAUCAGCUUGUUGGUGAGGUAAUGGCUCACCAAGGCGUCGACGGGUAGCUAGUCUGAGAGGACGAAUAGCCACACUGGGACUGAGACACGGCCCAGACUCCUACGGGAGGCAGCAGUGGGGAAUCUUGCGCAAUGGGCGGAAGCCUGACGCAGCAACGCCGCGUGGGGGAUGAAGGCUUUCGGGUUGUAAACCCCUUUCAGCAGGGACGAUCGUGACGGUACCUGCAGAAGAAGGACCGGCCAACUACGUGCCAGCAGCCGCGGUAAUACGUAGGGUCCGAGCGUUGUCCGGAUUUAUUGGGCGUAAAGAGCUCGUAGGUGGCUCCGUAAGUCGGGUGUGAAAAUCCCAGGCUCAACCUGGGGACGCCACUUGAUACUGCGGUAGCUGGAGUCUGGUAGGGGAUCUCGGAAUUCCUGGUGUAGCGGUGAAAUGCGCAGAUAUCAGGAGGAACACCAGUGGCGAAGGCGGAGAUCUGGGCCAGUACUGACACUGAGGAGCGAAAGCGUGGGUAGCGAACAGGAUUAGAUACCCUGGUAGUCCACGCCGUAAACGUUGGGCACUAGGUGUGGGGGUCUAUCGACGGUUCCCGUGCCGU